AGGAGCUGUCCUUAGUACGAGAGGACCGGGAUGGACAUACCUCUGGUGUACCAGUUGUCGUGCCAACGGCAUAGCUGGGUAGCUAUGUAUGGACGGGAUAAGUGCUGAAAGCAUCUAAGCAUGAAGCCCCCCUCAAGAUGAGAUUUCCCAACUUCGGUUAUAAGAUCCCUCGAAGAUGACGAGGUUAAUAGGUUCGAGGUGGAAGCGUGGAGACACGUGGAGCUGACGAAUACUAAUCGAUCGAAGACUUAAUCAA
RNAcentral lists this ribosomal RNA (256 nucleotides) under Staphylococcus epidermidis NIHLM067. RNAcentral describes it as "partial 23S ribosomal RNA". It matches the Rfam family "Bacterial large subunit ribosomal RNA", at positions 2667 to 2925 of the family's 2925-position model. Lineage: Bacteria; Bacillati; Bacillota; Bacilli; Caryophanales; Staphylococcaceae. The record is from RNAcentral.